UGGCGGACGGGUGAGUAACGCGUGGGAAUCUACCCAGUAGUGGGGGACAACUACCGGAAACGGUAGCUAAUACCGCAUACGCCCUAUGGGGGAAAGGCUUCGGCCGCUAUUGGAUGAGCCCGCGUCAGAUUAGCUAGUUGGUAGGGUAAAGGCCUACCAAGGCAACGAUCUGUAGCUGGUCUGAGAGGACGAACAGCCACACUGGGACUGAGACACGGCCCAGACUCCUACGGGAGGCAGCAGUGGGGAAUAUUGGACAAUGGGCGAAAGCCUGAUCCAGCAAUGCCGCGUGUGUGAAGAAGGCCUGCGGGUUGUAAAGCACUUUCAGUUGGGAAGAUGGUGACGUUACCAACAGAAGAAGCACCGGCUAAAUCCGUGCCAGCAGCCGCGGUAAUACGGAUGGUGCGAGCGUUAAUCGGAAUUACUGGGCGUAAAGCGCGCGUAGGCGGCUAAGUCAGUCAGAAGUGAAAGCCCCGGGCUCAACCUGGGAAUUGCUUUUGAUACUGCUUAGCUAGAGUUUGGUAGAGGAUAGUGGAAUUCCAAGUGUAGCGGUGAAAUGCGUAGAUAUCUGGAGGAACAUCAGUGGCGAAGGCGACUGUCUGGACCAAAACUGACGCUGAGGUGCGAAAGCGUGGGUAGCAAACAGGAUUAGAUACCCUGGUAG
This 664-nucleotide ribosomal RNA is filed under the name uncultured Gammaproteobacteria bacterium. RNAcentral describes it as "bacterial SSU rRNA". It matches the Rfam family "Bacterial small subunit ribosomal RNA", at positions 96 to 793 of the family's 1533-position model. The record is from RNAcentral. Lineage: Bacteria; Pseudomonadati; Pseudomonadota; Gammaproteobacteria.